Molecule: transfer RNA, 69 nt
Filed under: Ictidomys tridecemlineatus (thirteen-lined ground squirrel)
Lineage: Eukaryota; Metazoa; Chordata; Mammalia; Rodentia; Sciuridae
Description: Spermophilus tridecemlineatus (thirteen-lined ground squirrel) tRNA
Rfam family: tRNA
About the family: Transfer RNA (tRNA) molecules are approximately 80 nucleotides in length. Their secondary structure includes four short double-helical elements and three loops (D, anti-codon, and T loops). Further hydrogen bonds mediate the characteristic L-shaped molecular structure. tRNAs have two regions of fundamental functional importance: the anti-codon, which is responsible for specific mRNA codon recognition, and the 3' end, to which the tRNAs corresponding amino acid is attached (by aminoacyl-tRNA synthetases). tRNAs cope with the degeneracy of the genetic code in two manners: having more than one tRNA (with a specific anti-codon) for a particular amino acid; and 'wobble' base-pairing, i.e. permitting non-standard base-pairing at the 3rd anti-codon position.
Source: Rfam by way of RNAcentral
GGGGUUGUGGCUCAGUGGUAGAGCGCUCGCCUCACAUGCGAGAGACCCUGGGUUCUAUUCUCAGCACCA